Molecule: long non-coding RNA, 2024 nt
Organism: Apis mellifera (honey bee)
Lineage: Eukaryota; Metazoa; Arthropoda; Insecta; Hymenoptera; Apidae
Exons: 3
Source: RefSeq, a predicted model, not a curated record
GACCGCGUAGAACUCGGUAGGCUGCGUACGACAGGCUCAGGAACAACGACUGGAGGACGUUGCUGCUGCUUGUUGCUGCCCAGAUCGCCAGCGCAGCCGUAAUCGUAGCUGCAGCAUAGCUGCCCGUCCUACGGAGAGAAUCAUUGCCAGACAAUACUCGAUAGAUAGAGAAAGAGAUUCUUGGUGCUUCUAUCGAAUCUCGAAUGCAGAUCAGAGGAGGGUGCAAAAGAGGCUCAAGUGUAACAAAAUCAUAAUAAUAGUAAUAAUAAUAAUAAUAAUAAUAGUAAUAAUAAUAAUAAUAGUAGUAGUAAUAAUAAUAAUAGUAAUAAUAAUAAUAGUAAUAAUAAUAAUAAUAAUAAUGAUAAUAAUAACAAUAAUAAUAAAGGAAACACAAAAAAUGAAUUAUAAUGCAAUUCUGUGUACGUAUAUUUGUACGUGAGCGUGUGUCUGUCACCACGUGCGUCGUGCACCCGACCGAUAUCAAAUAUUUUAGAAAUCCGAAUUUUUUUUUUUUUUUAACGACAGUGCAUCAUUAAUGUGCGUUUCUUGAAUCGAAUGAAUCGAGACGUUAACUCGUAUUUUUUUUUUUAGUCAGAAAAAAAAAAAAACGUGAGGUGAAUCGUUACAUGCGAAUCAUUGUGAAAACGUGCAUUCAACCACUGUAAUUAAAGUGGAGGAUCGUAUUGAGCAUUCUUGAUCGAACGAUCGACGGAAAAGAAAAUAUUCAAACAAUAAUAAUAACAAUGGAUUUAAAUUUAUCUUUUAUUUUUGCGAAGAAAAAAAAAAUCAAUAAUAUCAGAAUCAAUUAAUAAUAAUAAUAAUAAAUGUUUCACUUCUUUCCAUUGCACAAAUUUUUUAUAUGAUUUUAAUGAUAAAAAUAAUUAACAUUCAAUCAAUUUUUUUCUUUUUAAUAAUAAAUUUAAAUUUGAUUUUACUUUGAAUUUAACACUAACAGACACUAAUAAUUAAGAAUUAUUUAACUUAAAACACGAUACAGAAUAUUUAUAUAAAUAUUAUCGAUUAAAUAAUAAGAUAAUAAUCGUCUUCGGAUCGAUCAAGAGUAAUUCUGAAUAUAAUUCUUAAUAACGAAACAUGCGACGUGCUCGCGAUUUAAUUCUUAGAGUUAAAAGUAAUAUUUCUUGCGCAGUGUCAAUGUCUAUUUGUCUAUGCCACACGCUGUCAAAAAGAUCGUAAUAAUAAAUAUAUAUAUAUUUAUUUAACGCCACCUUCUGUACGAUCGUUAUCUUUUAUUAAAAAAAAUUUCAAAUCAAACAAAUCAAAAAAAGAAAAAUCCAACGACUAUCGUCUUUAAAACAUUAAAAUUUUAAACACACGUGGCAUAAACGAUCAGUGCAUGUAACCUAACGCAAGAAAACGUCGUUCAUGCCUGGUGACCAGCGUGCGGCGAUCAACGAACGCAAGAGACCUCUACGAACGAAUGAACCAGGGGAUAUCUAUGUUACUAGAUUUACUUCCUCUAAUGGAUUCUAAACGAGUAUUACACGACAGAGUAAGAAAGUAAAAUCGAGGGCUUGCGUAGAUAAGAAGCGAUUGAUUCGGCCGAUGGCCGAAAAAAAAAAAAAAAAAGAAAGGAGAGAAAAGAUGGUGUCAAGUGGUGCUAUUCGAAAUAAGCAGGAGAAACAGAAGAAGAAGAAGAAGAAAAUAAAAGCGUUCGAGCUAGAAGUGACAAGUGAGUGAGAAGUAAGAAUAAAGAAAGAACAAACGUUAGAAGAAUAAAUAAAUAAAAAAAAGAGAAGAAAAGGCGGGUAGAAGAAGAUUAUAGGUGAGGUAGAAGUGACGUGAUUACCGAUGCACACAACACGCGCUAUUGCUCACCAAUUGGGCGCAGUACGGCACCUGCAAGGAUACCCAUCGUUAGGCUAGUCAGUUACCAGGCAUUCACAAGUCUGACACUGGUAUAUCCAUCGUUCGCCACUUCUGAAGACUAGAUGAUGAAGUUCUUGAUGCCUACAAGAAGCCGCGGGAUCGCAUUGCGGGCAACAUUUAUCCCGAUGACUUCCCGG